This 491-nucleotide ribosomal RNA is filed under the name uncultured bacterium. RNAcentral describes it as "partial 16S ribosomal RNA". It matches the Rfam family "Bacterial small subunit ribosomal RNA", at positions 29 to 506 of the family's 1533-position model. The record is from RNAcentral.
AGUGAACGCUGGCGGUAGGCCUAACACAUGCAAGUCGAACGGCAGCACCGUAAGAGCUUGCUCUUACGUGUUGCGAGUGGCGUACGGGUGAGGAAUACAUCGGAAUCUACUUUUUCGUGGGGGAUAACGUAGGGAAACUUACGCUCAUACCGCAUACUACCUACGGUUGAAAUCAUGGGAUCUUCGGACCUUGCGCGAUUGAAUGAGCCGAUGUCGGAUUAGCUAGUUGGCGGGGUAAAAGCCCACCAAGGCGACGAUCCGUAGCUGGUCUGAGAGGAUGAUCAGCCACACAAGAACUGAGAGACGGUGCAGAAUCGUAAGGGAGGCAGCAGUGGGGAAUAAUGGACAAGGGGAGCAAGCCUGAUCCAGACAGACCACGUGGGUGAAGAAAGCCUUCGGGUAGUAAAGCCCUUUUGUUGGGGAAGAAAAGCAGCAGGUUAAUACAACGCUGUUCUGACGGUACCCAAAGAAUAAGCACCGGCUAACUGCGU